UACGGGGGGAGCAAGCGUUGUUCGGAUUUACUGGGCGUAAAGGGCGCGUAGGCGGUCAGCACAAGUCAGUUGUGAAAUCUCCGGGCUUAACUCGGAAAGGUCAACUGAUACUGUGCGACUAGAGUGCGGAAGGGGCAACUGGAAUUCUCGGUGUAGCGGUGAAAUGCGUAGAUAUCGAGAGGAACACCUGCGGCGAAGGCGGGUUGCUGGGCCGACACUGACGCUGAGGCGCGAAAGCUAGGGGAGCGAACGGG
This 254-nucleotide ribosomal RNA is filed under the name uncultured bacterium. Its description in RNAcentral is "partial 16S ribosomal RNA". It matches the Rfam family "Bacterial small subunit ribosomal RNA", at positions 524 to 776 of the family's 1533-position model. The record is from RNAcentral.